CGGGAAGUCUCUCCCCCUAGACUGUGCUCCAUGGGGUGGGCCCAGGCCUUGUGCUGUUUUUACUUAUAUCCCCCAUGGAGACCAGAGCUAGGCACAGAGUACAGCAGCACCCCAACUUUCAGCCGGUUACCCAUACAUCUCUCAUGUCAUUAAGAACAAUGAAACUAUAGCACACACACAUUCCAGUGGAAAAAAAUAAUUUUCAAAGUUCCCUGGAGUUCGUUGCAGUGGAAUCCAUGGCCCAGAGUAAUUAAAAAAAGCAAUCUUCGUGUCAGCUCCUCCCUGGCAGACUUAGCCUGCCAGAGCUAAUGAGACAGGCCACCCUUCAGCCAACCUCAUCAGUGACGACCACGCGGCCAGGAAGUCCUUGAUGUGCGAUGUGCAGUAGCUAACAAGGGCCCCCCUGCUGCGAAGCAACAACUUGCUGGGCAUGGAGCAGGGACCCACGGGUUCCCAUCAUUGCCUCC
RNAcentral lists this long non-coding RNA (467 nucleotides) under Pan troglodytes (chimpanzee). RNAcentral describes it as "long non-coding RNA NONPTRT009034". Lineage: Eukaryota; Metazoa; Chordata; Mammalia; Primates; Hominidae. The record is from RNAcentral.